RNAcentral lists this ribosomal RNA (435 nucleotides) under Curtobacterium sp. P565. RNAcentral's name for it is "bacterial SSU rRNA". It matches the Rfam family "Bacterial small subunit ribosomal RNA", at positions 24 to 458 of the family's 1533-position model. The record is from RNAcentral. Lineage: Bacteria; Bacillati; Actinomycetota; Actinomycetes; Micrococcales; Microbacteriaceae.
UCAGGACGAACGCUGGCGGCGUGCUUAACACAUGCAAGUCGAACGAUGAUCAGGAGCUUGCUCCUGUGAUUAGUGGCGAACGGGUGAGUAACACGUGAGUAACCUGCCCCUGACUCUGGGAUAAGCGUUGGAAACGACGUCUAAUACUGGAUAUGAUCACUGGCCGCAUGGUCUGGUGGUGGAAAGAUUUUUUGGUUGGGGAUGGACUCGCGGCCUAUCAGCUUGUUGGUGAGGUAAUGGCUCACCAAGGCGACGACGGGUAGCCGGCCUGAGAGGGUGACCGGCCACACUGGGACUGAGACACGGCCCAGACUCCUACGGGAGGCAGCAGUGGGGAAUAUUGCACAAUGGGCGAAAGCCUGAUGCAGCAACGCCGCGUGAGGGAUGACGGCCUUCGGGUUGUAAACCUCUUUUAGUAGGGAAGAAGCGAGAGUG